AAUUGAAGAGUUUGAUCCUGGCUCAGCCUGAACGCUGGCGGCGUGGCUAAGACAUGCAAGUCGUACGGGUGUAGCAAUACACCAGUGGCGAACGGGUGAGUAAUGUAUCGCUAACGUGCCCUGGAGUCGGGGAUAGCCGGCCGAAAGGCCGGGUAAUACCCGGUGACAUGCCUGUGGGGCAUCCCACGGGCCUCAAAGCCGCAAGGCGCUCUGGGAGCGGGCGAUAUCGUAUCAGCUUGUUGGUAGGGUAACGGCCUACCAAGGCGACGACGCGUAGCCGGACUGAGAGGUCGGCCGGCCACAUCGGGACUGAGACACUGCCCGGACUCCUACGGGGGGCUGCAGUAACGAAUAUUGGGCAAUGGGCGCAAGCCUGACCCAGCGACGCCGCGUGGAGGUUAAGUCCUUCGGGAUGUAAACUCCUGUCAGGGGUUACCAAGUUCUGAGGAGCCCCAGAGGAAGGCACGGCUAACUCUGUGCCAGCAGCCGCGGUAAGACAGAGGUGCCAAGCGUUAGGCGGAAUCACUGGGCUUAAAGCGUGUGUAGGCGGACGUCUAAGUGCCUUGUGAAAUCCCCCGGCUUAACCGGGGCAUGGCUGGGCAUACUGGGCGUCUUGAGGCAUCCAGGGGUCGCUGGAACAAGCGGUGGAGCGGUGAAAUGCGUAGAUAUCGCUUGGAACGCCGGCGGUGAAAACGGGCGACUGGGGAUGAACUGACGCUGAGACACGAAAGCCAGGGGAGCAAACGGGAUUAGAUACCCCGGUAGUCCUGGCCCUAAACGAUGUCCACUAGAUCGGGGGCAUUUUGACGAUGCUCGUGGUCGAAGCAAAAGUGCUAAGUGGACCGCCUGGGAAGUACGGUCGCAAGGCUAAAACUCAAAGGAAUUGACGGGGGCUCACACAAGCGGUGGAGCAUGUGGUUCAAUUCGAAGCAACGCGC
This 938-nucleotide ribosomal RNA is filed under the name Phycisphaerae bacterium. RNAcentral describes it as "bacterial SSU rRNA". It matches the Rfam family "Bacterial small subunit ribosomal RNA", at positions 1 to 964 of the family's 1533-position model. Lineage: Bacteria; Pseudomonadati; Planctomycetota; Phycisphaerae. The record is from RNAcentral.